This 26-nucleotide non-coding RNA is filed under the name Rattus norvegicus (Norway rat). Lineage: Eukaryota; Metazoa; Chordata; Mammalia; Rodentia; Muridae. The record is from RNAcentral.
UAGGAAUUGAGGCUUUGUUACUUCCU